UUCAAUACCUCACCGAUUCCUUUCCCAUCGAACUCUGUUUUCUUUCUUUCUUUUAAUCGUUGUUUUGGAUAUUCACUAAUUAGCCUGACUAUAUACAUACCAAACAUCAGGUAUGUCACUAAUUCACUUCCUUCCCUUCCCUUCGUCUCUCAGCUCCUUGCUCGUGGCGUUGAAGUGGUGGCGACAGGCGAUGGCGGCGGCGUUGUCGAUUGCGGUGAGGACAUCCCGUGGCAUCCCUCGAAGCACCAACACGACGCCACCUGGUCUACCAUCUCCAUAUGGGCGAGUUCUCUUGAUCCCCAGCGUACUCUCUCACCUCCUCCAAAUUCCUCGACCCCUAACUUCUCGAUCCCUACCAGGCUACCACGAUCUGAUCCGAAGGCCGAUGCAGCUCCGGGCUAUUGAUAAUGGAGGUUGAGGAUCCUUCCUCUCAGCACCCACUCAUGGCAGAAUCAGCAGCGUGCCACGCGGAUGGAACCCGGCCGAGAUCAUGGGAUGCUUCCACACAGGGCUCGCCAAGAUUGCAAUUCUGAACUUUUUUGUAAACAAAGUGAAGAGUGGGACAUGAUCUGUACUUGUGCUAAUAUAAAAUAUACAGUACUUGUGUAGGUGCAGGUUUUGUUUUAACAUUCCAAUUGUUGUUUAUCCUUUUGUCGCUGAAAAUUCUUUACUAAUUAUGACAUUCAUUUUAUUUCUUCUAGAUGUAUCUCGAUCCACUAUGUCUGAUCACAAGGUGACAAUGGCGGCAUAGCAGCCCGGAGGAGACGGCGGCGAGCCCCCCUCCUCCAACUGUAGCAAUUCACCAGGUGGCGGCACGAACAACCUUCAUCUCUAGAUGCUUCCCUGCACACCGAUGAGAUUCACGCUGAUGGUCUUGACUCCUAACCAAUGUCUUUUAGGCCUGAAGUCCCUGUAGUACCCAAGGUCGAGUGACCACUGCUGCGCCUCGCCGUGUCCUGACUCCUGACCAAUGUCCUUUAGCCUCCGGUCUCAGUUUCUUUAUGCAUAAUUUUUUUAAAGAAAUCAAAGAUCUUGUUAUGUAAUGUUUAGUAUCUCUUUGUACCUCUGAUUUAUGCACCAAACUAGAAGGGGGUCAAGAAGGCAUGGAUGUUCAAUAUUUUUUCCAAUAAUAUAUGGUGAAAAAACAAUUUGAUUUUUGUAUACUUGUGUCUUUCAUGUUCACUUGGUCCAUUAGUUUAAUUUUCUUGAACUUCUAUUUGGAAGGAGGCAAACUGAUCAGAUGUCACCAUCUCACAUCUCAGUGCCAGUCUAUUGUUACAUUGGGAAGUAUUUGUUUAAUCUACUGACACCUGCAUAUUUGAUAUGAAAUG
This 1331-nucleotide long non-coding RNA is filed under the name Triticum aestivum (bread wheat). Its description in RNAcentral is "long non-coding RNA (TAES_LNC025140)". The record is from RNAcentral. Lineage: Eukaryota; Viridiplantae; Streptophyta; Magnoliopsida; Poales; Poaceae.